This 903-nucleotide long non-coding RNA is filed under the name Cyclopterus lumpus (lumpfish). Its description in RNAcentral is "lncRNA (ENSCLMG00005001305.1)". Lineage: Eukaryota; Metazoa; Chordata; Actinopteri; Perciformes; Cyclopteridae. The record is from RNAcentral.
AUUUUUUAGACUAAUUAGAGGUUUUUAAUGUUGUAAAGUUCAGACUGAAGUUUCUCCUGAAGGUCCACAAUGAAGUCAGUAUUUCUCCUUUUAAACAAAUCUCACGUUUGAUCAAUGUGUUCGUCCGUCCCUCAAUACCUUCCUGACUGUCGCUCUCAGCUCCAAGCUCAGUGGUUCCUAUCGAAGACGCCAAUCUUCAAAUACAAAACUGUAAUAUAUAUACAUAUAAUAAUAAUAAAUGAAUAUAUAUUAAUUUAUUAUAUAUAUAUAUAUAUAUAUAUAUAUAUAUAUAUAUAUAUAUUUUCAAACCUAAUUUAAAAGUGUGUGUGUGUCCUGCAGACAUUCUGUACUUCUUCGGGGACAACAACGUGACCGAGUGGCAGCUCCUGCUGCAGCAGUACGCGUCUCCACCGUACGUCCUGCCUCGGACCAGCGGGGCGCUCAGCUUCGGCAUCGCAGGUCCUGGAUCCGGGGUCCCCUUCCACUGGCACGGUCCCGGUUUCUCCGAGGUCAUCUACGGGAGAAAGCGGUGGUUCCUCUACCCGCCCGACCAGGAGCCCCACUUCCACCCCAACCGCACCACCCUGUCCUGGGUCACGGAGACCUACCCACAGCUACCGGAGGCCGAGGCACCGCAGGAGUGCACCAUCUCACCUGGAGAGGUUUUGUAUUUUCCGGACCGUUGGUGGCACGCAACCCUCAACCUGGAAACCAGCGUCUUCAUCUCCACCUUCCUCGGCUGAUCUUCAUCUUCGUCUCUCCAGUGUUACAUUCCAGCUUUACUGAGAUUCCAUUUGUUGUUAAAUUCAACCUUGUUUUACAAUAAAGAAACAGAAAUGUAUUUAAAAACCAACGGAGUCGAUUGAGGAGUUAAAAUGUUUUCACAUUGUUUUUGUUCCUUCA